Molecule: ribosomal RNA, 496 nt
Filed under: uncultured bacterium
Lineage: Bacteria
Description: partial 16S ribosomal RNA
Rfam family: Bacterial small subunit ribosomal RNA
Source: RNAcentral
GAUGAACGCUGGCGGCGUGCCCAAUACAUGCAAGUCGAGCGAACAGACGAGGAGCUUGCUCCUCUGACGUUAGCGGCGGACGGGUGAGUAACACGUGGAUAACCUACCUAUAAGACUGGGAUAACUUCGGGAAACCGGAGCUAAUACCGGAUAAUAUAUUGAACCGCAUGGUUCAAUAGUGAAAGACGGUUUUGCUGUCACUUAUAGAUGGAUCCGCGCCGCAUUAGCUAGUUGGUAAGGUAACGGCUUACCAAGGCAACGAUGCGUAGCCGACCUGAGAGGGUGAUCGGCCACACUGGAACUGAGACACGGUCCAGACUCCUACGGGAGGCAGCAGUAGGGAAUCUUCCGCAAUGGGCGAAAGCCUGACGGAGCAACGCCGCGUGAGUGAUGAAGGUCUUCGGAUCGUAAAACUCUGUUAUUAGGGAAGAACAAAUGUGUAAGUAACUAUGCACGUCUUGACGGUACCUAAGCAGAAAGCCACGGCUAACUACGG